CGCUCUGUAAUUUCUGCAUAGAAGGAUGCCUUUCCUGCUAGGUGUACGUCCAGCUACGGAACAGUGAGGCUGGAAUGUGCAGCAGGGAUCUGCAGAUGCUCUUGCAGUACAAGAAAUAACCAGUGAGGGAUAUAGUGCAGAGUCUGCGAGCCAGCCACCUCCGUCCUGCUGCCCCUUUCCCAGAGGAUCUGCAUGGGAACUGUGCUGUGUACUUUCACGGGGUGGAGGUGAUGUCUGGUAAGACAUUAUCUAAAGGGUCAGAGUCCUAUCUAAUGGGUGGGACAAUGUGGUAUCAGCCUAAUGGCUAAUCAUGCAUCUGAUUACGAUCAGGUGCUGUGGCUUGGAGGCUCUAAAGACACCUGAGAGAGAGCAGAAAAAGAAAUGAAACAACAGCCAUGGAGUGGACUCAUCAAGUGAACAUCAAAAAUGAUGAGAGAGUUUUGUUUGGCCCUUUUCCUACGGCAACAAAGCAUCUUCCCAGUGUUGCCCCUCCGCCUCCCCAGCAUACUAACGGUGCAUGAAAGACACUAUGACAUUGAAAACUACACUAUGGACAAAG
This 559-nucleotide long non-coding RNA is filed under the name Anas platyrhynchos platyrhynchos (common mallard). RNAcentral describes it as "lncRNA (ENSAPLG00000018320.1)". Lineage: Eukaryota; Metazoa; Chordata; Aves; Anseriformes; Anatidae. The record is from RNAcentral.